AGAGUUUGAUCCUGGCUCAGAAUCAACGCUGGCGGCGUGCCUAACACAUGCAAGUCGAACGCGAAAGCCCUUUCGGGGGUAAGUAGAGUGGCGUCCGGGUGAGUAACACGUGGGUAAUCUGCCUUCGGGUGGGGAAUAACUCGCCGAAAGGUGAGCUAAUACCGCAUAAUGCAGCGGCACCAAAUGGUGAUUAGUUGUUAAAGCGGGGGACCCUUCGGGGCCUCGCGCCUGAAGAGGAGCCUGCGGCAGAUUAGCUAGUUGGUGAGGUAAUGGCUCACCAAGGCUUCGAUCUGUAGCUGGUCUGAGAGGACGGCCAGCCACACUGGCACUGACACACGGGCCANACUCCUACGGGAGGCAGCAGUGGGGAAUUUUGGGCAAUGGGCGCAAGCCUGACCCAGCAACGCCGCGUGAGGGAGGAAAUCCUUCGGGAUGUAAACCUCACAAGCAAGGGAAGAGCGCUACAGGUCUAAUAAGCCUGUAGUCCGACGGUACCUUGCGUAAGCCACGGCUAACUACGUGCCAGCAGCCGCGGUAAUACGUAGGUGGCAAGCGUUGUUCGGAAUUAUUGGGCGUAAAGGGCGCGUAGGCGGCUUGUUAAGUCGGCUGUGAAAGCCUGGGGCUCAACCCCNGAGGGUCGGCCGAUACUGGCAAGCUAGAGUACGGAAUAGGUAGCUGGAAUUCCCGGUGUAGCGGUGAAAUGCG
This 705-nucleotide ribosomal RNA is filed under the name uncultured bacterium. RNAcentral's name for it is "bacterial SSU rRNA". It matches the Rfam family "Bacterial small subunit ribosomal RNA", at positions 8 to 690 of the family's 1533-position model. The record is from RNAcentral.